Molecule: long non-coding RNA, 213 nt
Filed under: Homo sapiens (human)
Lineage: Eukaryota; Metazoa; Chordata; Mammalia; Primates; Hominidae
Description: HSALNT0056738
Source: RNAcentral
UUUAGCUACAUGCUCAAGGUUAAAAGCAAAUGACAGGGAGAAUGCAAGAAGGGAUUGCUGGGAAGAAGGCCAGAGGAAAUUGGAGUGAGAAAUUCAAAAUGUAUGCAAGAGUUUGUCUAAGGAGAAUCAAAACUACUAUGUUUAGAAAAGGUUGAAAUUUCAUUAUUUUGCAAGAGUUACAUCAACAACUGCAAAAGCUUCAGGAAUUCCAGG